UUAAGCGACUAAGCGUACACGGUGGAUGCCCUGGCAGUCAGAGGCGAUGAAGGACGUGCUAAUCUGCGAUAAGCGUCGGUGAGGUGAUAUGAACCGUUAUAACCGGCGAUUUCCGAAUGGGGAAACCCAGUGUGUUUCGACACACUAUCAUUAACUGAAUCCAUAGGUUAAUGAGGCGAACCGGGGGAACUGAAACAUCUAAGUACCCCGAGGAAAAGAAAUCAACCGAGAUUCCCCCAGUAGCGGCGAGCGAACGGGGAGGAGCCCAGAGCCUGAAUCAGUGUGUGUGUUAGUGGAAGCGUCUGGAAAGGCGCGCGAUACAGGGUGACAGCCCCGUACACAAAAAUGCACAUAUUGUGAGCUCGAUGAGUAGGGCGGGACACGUGGUAUCCUGUCUGAAUAUGGGGGGACCAUCCUCCAAGGCUAAAUACUCCUGACUGACCGAUAGUGAACCAGUACCGUGAGGGAAAGGCGAAAAGAACCCCGGCGAGGGGAGUGAAAAAGAACCUGAAACCGUGUACGUACAAGCAGUGGGAGCCUCUUUAUGGGGUGACUGCGUACCUUUUGUAUAAUGGGUCAGCGACUUAUAUUCUGUAGCAAGGUUAACCGAAUAGGGGAGCCGAAGGGAAACCGAGUCUUAACUGGGCGUUAAGUUGCAGGGUAUAGACCCGAAACCCGGUGAUCUAGCCAUGGGCAGGUUGAAGGUUGGGUAACACUAACUGGAGGACCGAACCGACUAAUGUUGAAAAAUUAGCGGAUGACUUGUGGCUGGGGGUGAAAGGCCAAUCAAACCGGGAGAUAGCUGGUUCUCCCCGAAAGCUAUUUAGGUAGCGCCUCGUGAAUUCAUCUCCGGGGGUAGAGCACUGUUUCGGCAAGGGGGUCAUCCCGACUUACCAACCCGAUGCAAACUGCGAAUACCGGAGAAUGUUAUCACGGGAGACACACGGCGGGUGCUAACGUCCGUCGUGAAGAGGGAAACAACCCAGACCGCCAGCUAAGGUCCCAAAGUCAUGGUUAAGUGGGAAACGAUGUGGGAAGGCCCAGACAGCCAGGAUGUUGGCUUAGAAGCAGCCAUCAUUUAAAGAAAGCGUAAUAGCUCACUGGUCGAGUCGGCCUGCGCGGAAGAUGUAACGGGGCUAAACCAUGCACCGAAGCUGCGGCAGCGACACUAUGUGUUGUUGGGUAGGGGAGCGUUCUGUAAGCCUGUGAAGGUGGCCUGUGAGGGUUGCUGGAGGUAUCAGAAGUGCGAAUGCUGACAUAAGUAACGAUAAAGCGGGUGAAAAGCCCGCUCGCCGGAAGACCAAGGGUUCCUGUCCAACGUUAAUCGGGGCAGGGUGAGUCGACCCCUAAGGCGAGGCCGAAAGGCGUAGUCGAUGGGAAACAGGUUAAUAUUCCUGUACUUGGUGUUACUGCGAAGGGGGGACGGAGAAGGCUAUGUUGGCCGGGCGACGGUUGUCCCGGUUUAAGCGUGUAGGCUGGUUUUCCAGGCAAAUCCGGAAAACCAAGGCUGAGGCGUGAUGACGAGGCACUACGGUGCUGAAGCGACAAAUGCCCUGCUUCCAGGAAAAGCCUCUAAGCAUCAGGUAACAUCAAAUCGUACCCCAAACCGACACAGGUGGUCAGGUAGAGAAUACCAAGGCGCUUGAGAGAACUCGGGUGAAGGAACUAGGCAAAAUGGUGCCGUAACUUCGGGAGAAGGCACGCUGAUAUGUAGGUGAAGCGACUUGCUCGUGGAGCUGAAAUCAGUCGAAGAUACCAGCUGGCUGCAACUGUUUAUUAAAAACACAGCACUGUGCAAACACGAAAGUGGACGUAUACGGUGUGACGCCUGCCCGGUGCCGGAAGGUUAAUUGAUGGGGUUAGCGGUAACGCGAAGCUCUUGAUCGAAGCCCCGGUAAACGGCGGCCGUAACUAUAACGGUCCUAAGGUAGCGAAAUUCCUUGUCGGG
Molecule: ribosomal RNA, 1948 nt
Filed under: human gut metagenome
Description: bacterial LSU rRNA
Rfam family: Bacterial large subunit ribosomal RNA
Source: RNAcentral